UCCUUGGCAGGGAGGUCGGACUGGAUGAUCUCCAGGGGUUGUUUCCAACCCUGACAAUUCUGUGAUUCUCUGAAAGUCAAUUCUUAAAGCUUUUAACCUCAUCUGCUUCACUUGCAGAGGCACCACCUUCCUGUGUUAGGGGGACGACUUUGGGGUCAGGAAAGGGGGGAGUUUGAACAACAAUGGUUUAAGCACUUGGGCCCUGAAGGCAAUUUCUGCUACUGCUGAUUUGUGGUGUUGUGUAACUGCUGCAGCAGGAAUGGAUAACUUGAUCUUUGCCCUGGGAAGAGAAGUUUGGCCGUGGCUGUUUGCUCCAGGGUAUCUCUGCAGGCCUUGGCUCGACUCGCACAGACUUGUGCCAGAUCUGAUACACUGUACAUUGUAGGGUUGGUUGGUGUUUCCACCAACUAAACAACGCUGGAGAUAGAAAUAAUCUUUGAAAUAUAGGCAUUGCUAGUUCAAGAACCAACAGUCAAAGAAUACUGGCACUUUUAAGAGGAAUGAAGUUUCCACUGUCAUUUAAAACAAGCAUUCAGGUAAAGCUAACAGGAUCAUGAAGCAGAAAGUAAAGUAAUGCUAAAACAAAUGCUAAUAAUUUAGUGUAAUGUACAAAAUUACUUCAGUACUUCUUAAGGAUAAAUUGUAUUUACAUAAUUA
Long non-coding RNA from Pipra filicauda (Wire-tailed manakin), 657 nucleotides. RefSeq lists it as uncharacterized. The transcript has 2 exons. Lineage: Eukaryota; Metazoa; Chordata; Aves; Passeriformes; Pipridae. The record is from RefSeq and is a predicted model, not a curated record.